RNAcentral lists this unclassified non-coding RNA (261 nucleotides) under Ascomycota sp. Its description in RNAcentral is "partial contains small subunit ribosomal RNA, internal transcribed spacer 1, and 5.8S ribosomal RNA". The stretch from base 1 to 47 matches the Rfam family "Eukaryotic small subunit ribosomal RNA", at positions 1785 to 1831 of the family's 1831-position model. Lineage: Eukaryota; Fungi; Ascomycota. The record is from RNAcentral.
AAAGUCGUAACAAGGUUUCCGUAGGUGAACCUGCGGAAGGAUCAUUACAGAGUUUGUCGCCCUUAUUUGGGGUUGACCUCAAACCCUGUGUUUACUUAACUUUUGUUGCUUUGGCGGUUCGUAAAGCUCUUAAAAAGAACUUUCCACUGGCCUUGGCUAGUGUGUACCCGCCAGAGGAAACCAAAAACCCUUUGAUAUUUUAUUUUGUCGGAGUUAUUAAUUAAUAAUUAAAAACUUUCAACAACGGAUCUCUUGGUUCUG